ACGAACGCUGGCGGCGCGCCUAACACAUGCAAGUCGAACGAGAGAUGAGGAGCUUGCUCUUCAAAUCGAGUGGCGAACGGGUGAGUAACGCGUGAGGAACCUGCCUCAAAGAGGGGGACAACAGUUGGAAACGACUGCUAAUACCGCAUAAGCCCACGGCUCGGCAUCGAGCAGAGGGAAAAGGAGCAAUCCGCUUUGAGAUGGCCUCGCGUCCGAUUAGCUAGUUGGUGAGGUAACGGCCCACCAAGGCGACGAUCGGUAGCCGGACUGAGAGGUUGAACGGCCACAUUGGGACUGAGACACGGCCCAGACUCCUACGGGAGGCAGCAGUGGGGAAUAUUGCACAAUGGGGGAAACCCUGAUGCAGCGACGCCGCGUGGAGGAAGAAGGUCUUCGGAUUGUAAACUCCUGUUGUUGAGGAAGAUAAUGACGGUACUCAACAAGGAAGUGACGGCUAACUACGUGCCAGCAGCCGCGGUAAAACGUAGGUCACGAGCGUUGUCCGGAAUUACUGGGUGUAAAGGGAGCGCAGGCGGGAGAACAAGUUGGAAGUGAAAUCCAUGGGCUCAACCCAUGAACUGCUUUCAAAACUGUUUUUCUUGAGUAGUGCAGAGGUAGGCGGAAUUCCCGGUGUAGCGGUGGAAUGCGUAGAUAUCGGGAGGAACACCAGUGGCGAAGGCGGCCUACUGGGCACCAACUGACCCUGAGGCUCGAAAGUGUGGGUAGCAAACAGGAUUAGAUACCCUGGUAGUCCACACCGUAAACGAUGAUUACUAGGUGUUGGAGGAUUGACCCCUUC
Molecule: ribosomal RNA, 799 nt
Filed under: uncultured bacterium
Lineage: Bacteria
Description: bacterial SSU rRNA
Rfam family: Bacterial small subunit ribosomal RNA
Source: RNAcentral